GCUUAACCGACGGAGCCACCCAGGUGCCUCUGGAAAUACGAUUUUUGUAGAUGUAAUGAAGGAUCUCCAGGUAGGCUUAGCUUAAAGGGGCAGUGGGCCCGAAACCCAAUGACAGGACAGGAAGAGAGAAAGGACAGGAAGGAUGUGAAAACACACAGUCACAGGGGAGACGGCCACAUAGAGAUGGAAGCACAGGUGUGAUGCCUCCAUGAGCCAAGGAACACCCAGGAUUGGUGGCAACCACCAGACCCUGGAGGAGGCAGGGAAAGAGUCUCCCCUAGAGCCUUCGGAGGGAGCAUGGUCCAGCUGUCACCUUGCUUUUAGACUUCCGGCUGCCAGAAAUGUGAGAGAAUCAAUGUCUAUUGUUACUACCCACCCAGCCCUAGAAACUAAAGACAGAGCUGGAUUCAAAUUCAUGUGCCCUUAAACAACUCACUCCACCACUCAAGGACACCUCGCUUCCCACCCCCACCGCCCAGAAUGGAAAUGGAGCCGAGAAUCUCUCUCUCCCAGCACCGCAGAAUUCCCUAGAGGGCUUUUGGAAGCCCAACCCUGAACUUUCCGGAUCUGGGAAUCUGCCGAUGGUGCUGGUCUCAGGACCGUGGCUGUGGAGGACCCCAGAGCUGGGCCAAUUAGAAGAAAACAAACGGCAGAAAACUGAAACUAGGAAGAGCUGAGUGAAGGGAGAGGAGCAGAGACGCAGGGAAGCCAGUGGGUUGUGUGUUGGGAGGGAGUUAGCAGGGGAAUCAGAAGAGUGGCUUUCAUUCGGAGCCGGCUUCGGGCCCAGGGGACACUGGCCCUGUCCGGAACCCUCUUUGGUUCGUACAACCAGGGCAAGCGGUCCUCCUGGCGUCUAGGUGGCGGAGGCAGGGGACUCGGUUAAACAUCCUUCGGUGCCCAGGACAGCCCCACCACAGAGGAUGCCCUGGCCCUGGAUGUCAGUAAACACAGCAGCACAGAUCAACGGUUCUGUUGACGGGCGGGCCCCAGCAUCCGGGUGAUUGUUGCGGGCAGCCAUGGUGAGACCCACUGGUGGAGACAGUCGAGAGCGGUAUUUAUCCACAGAUCCCACAGGGACCUUGUUAAAAUGCGGAUUCGAACUAGAGGGCGGGGCGUCUGGGGCAGGAACCGAGGUUCUGUGUUUCCAACAAGCUCACGUGUGAUAUGGGCUGCCUUGGUGGGGGUGGGGGUGGGGGGUGUCCCUGGCAUCUCAGAGGUUUUUCUACAUCUCUUCUCUGCCCUUUGAGAUGUAAAUCUACCACCCGGAGAUCUCUUUCUUCCAACACCAGGGGAGCCAUCUCUCUGAAGCUCAAACGUGGAGAGCAAGUUCUCUCCCAGUCCUGGAGGAAGGUUAAGGGCCCAACUCUGUAGGCACCUCCCACCCAGCUGCACCCCUGCCUCCUGGCACAGGGACAGCGGCCCCGUUGGCUUCCUCUCCAGCCAAGUGUGAAAGUCCAGCCACCCAGACGGGCCUCCUUCCCACCCCUCUGCGCCUUUCCCUUAGCCAAAGCCUUUCAUUUCAGCCAAGUCCAGUCAAGUUCACGCAGGGCCCUGUUCCUGAUUGCAAUAGCAGAACUGAAUAAAUUUGUCCUCUCCACGUUGUUAACCGGCUUCCGGCUGUGCUGGCCUCUGACUCAGGGUUCCAGGGAUUCAAACGCAAAGGGGGGAAAUUUGGACACAGACAUGCACACAGAGAAUGCCAGGUCAAGGUCGGUUAUGGUGCCAGAAAAGUAUCGGAAGUUGGGAGAGAGGGCCCGGAACGGAUCCUUGCCUGGUGCCUUUGGAGAGACAAGCAGGCCUGGCAACGCCUUGAUCUUGGACUUCUGGCCUCCAGAACUCCUUCCUUCUGGAAGCACGCUCCCGCCUUCCUCCCUGGGGACGCUGCCUGCUGCCUCCUGUUCUCACGAGUCCUUGUCACAGAGUGGGGUCCGCUCCUGGGCAAUACGACCUUUCAGGAGCGAUGGCAAACUUAACAGGUCAGAGAACGUGAGUGAACAAACUCGUGGCUGGGUGGGGUGAGCCCCGUCUAAAGGGGGACAGUCCCUGCUCAGCUCCUGCCAUGGGGGACACGGGCUCCGUGUUGCCUGAACUCGCAGUUUCUCGAGAGAAACCAGAAACGUGGAUUUCCGAAACAAAUGGUGACAUCCAAUCUUUGAAUGUUAGCAGUCGACGCCCCUUUCUUUUGUCGUUUUCACCUCCUUGGGUCCAGCUCCAACACGUCUGGAGAUCAGAUCUGGCCCCGCUUGGCAACCUCCGGUCGAGACUGCACACCCCAGCCUUGGGUGACGGGACGGGCUGCGGGCAGGACGCGGGACACGUGAGGCUCUGCUGCUGGUUGGCUGUGCACACCUGCUUCAGAAACCUUCCUGAGCCUCAGUCUCCGCAUGCAUAAAAUGGGUACCGUCUCGCACACCUUGCUUACCUCCUGGGGUGGCCAUGAAGGCGGAGGGACGCGGUUUAUUUAGCAAACGGUGCGUGCCGGCAAUGUUCUGACCGUGUGGCAAACCAGUCUUCUACUCCACCCCAAGAGCGCUCAGAAGGGGGUGCCGUGAAGACCCUAUUUCGUUCGUACAGAGGCUAAGUGACUGCUAAAUGUCCCCCAGCUGACAGGCGGGGGCAACGGGCUUUGCGUCCAGGCGAGCGGACGGCCAAGUAUGUGCCCUUAGCCGACGCAUUUGGCUGCCUCUUGGGAGGCACUGAAAUUCCACACGGUUUUGUCCUCUUUGUUUUUUUUUAUAAAGGGGGAGGAGGGAUGGGCACCCCUUGGCUUCUUCUUGGGGAGCUCUCUCUCAGCCAGCAGCUGCUGCCCCUGGAGGAACCGGGCGCGGGUUGUCACGGCGGCACAGGCUUCCUGACCCGUCUGGCCCGGGGCCAGUGUGCCGGGCCAAACAACCCACCGCCUUUUCUCCUCAGCAGAGGAUUUCCCGUAAGCAGCAGCUCCCUGCCUGUUGGCUCACAGACCUGCCAAGACCCACAGUCAGGAGACUGCCUGGGCUCCUCCUCCACGGGGCUAGAUGACAUCUGGGGGCAGGGGAGGGAGGGUUGGCGCUUCCCAGCUGGGACCUGGGCUACGCUGCCCACCCCACCCCAGUGUGUGGCUGGUGCGUGGGUGUAAGAAAAACCUAGAUCCGGGGGCGCCUGGGUGGCUCAGUCAGCGGAGCAUCCGGCUUCGGCUCAGGUCACGAUCUCACGGUUCCUGAGUUCAAGUCCCGCGUCAGGCUCUGUGCUGACAGCUCGGAGCCUGGAG
This is a long non-coding RNA of Felis catus (domestic cat), 3247 nucleotides long. RefSeq lists it as uncharacterized. The transcript has 3 exons. NCBI's taxonomy places the organism in Eukaryota, Metazoa, Chordata, Mammalia, Carnivora, Felidae. The record is from RefSeq and is a predicted model, not a curated record.